This 188-nucleotide ribosomal RNA is filed under the name uncultured Cytophagaceae bacterium. RNAcentral's name for it is "partial 16S ribosomal RNA". It matches the Rfam family "Bacterial small subunit ribosomal RNA", at positions 338 to 524 of the family's 1533-position model. Lineage: Bacteria; Pseudomonadati; Bacteroidota; Cytophagia; Cytophagales; Cytophagaceae. The record is from RNAcentral.
CCUACGGGAGGCAGCAGUGGGGAAUAUUGGUCAAUGGGUGCGAGCCUGAACCAGCCAUGCCGCGUGCAGGAAGACGGCCUUCUGGGUUGUAAACUGCUUUUGCCAGGGGAUAAAAAGCUCAUGCGUGAGCAAUUGAAGGUACCUGGUGAAUAAGCACCGGCUAACUACGUGCCAGCAGCCGCGGUAAU